RNAcentral lists this unclassified non-coding RNA (560 nucleotides) under Hevea brasiliensis (rubber tree). Lineage: Eukaryota; Viridiplantae; Streptophyta; Magnoliopsida; Malpighiales; Euphorbiaceae. The record is from RNAcentral.
GAAAAAUUAAAGGCAAGAAAAAUCUCAUUUUAUUUCACAGGAUUUUGCUCAGGCUGGAGUUUUAAUUCAUAGCUUUAUCAAUAUAGCUUCAUAUCUACACGACCAUCUGAAAAGUAGGGGUACGUAACCCUUUUUCAGGUUCCCAUUACUGAGAUUAUCAUAUGGCUAGGAUUCAUAAACGGGUAAUAAUGUAUAAUAGCUGUUCUAAAAUAUCUCAUUUUGAUAAAAAUUAACAUUUAUGGGGGAUUAAGCAGGAAGCUUUAGCUCGGAGGUGCAUCUUUCUUCCCUGUUAUCUUUUUACUCCAUCCCAAUUUCCCUCUGUAUAUGUUUCUUUUAAUUCAUUUCUUUUCAUUAUCUUUCUGUCAUUUGCUGCACUACCAGAUUUUUAACCUAUUGCACCACACUAAACACCUAUUCCACGUCUCUAAUUCUACCAUUCUUUCACACCUUAUAAUUCCCCAACCUUAUUGAUUUACAGGACAACCCACAAGCUCAUAAUCAACUGUCCUAAUAGCCCAAUAAGAUGGCUAUUCCCAUAGCAUUGAUAGAAAACAAUAAAU